UACUCGAUAUUUAAUAUUUAAGUAUUUUAAAUGUGUUGCUUUUGUAUUCUAUGUAUGAUAUACGUUAUUCUUAUAAUACUUUAUAAUAACUAGCUGUAUAACCCGAUCCGCCUGCCAAAAAAUAUAACAAGUAUAAAAUACGAUGGUUUAUAAAAUAUGUACUUGGUUUUAGUGUACACUGGUUUACAAGCAAAUCAGCGUUGGUGUACCUCACUUUGUGAACUAAUUCAACUGAAAUGGUCAAUCCGGCUGUGGCGAUUUGGAUAUAGUACUUGAGUCGCCGGAGAUUAGACCACCCGUUGAUUGACGACCGGUAACAAGCAGCCGUAGAACAAUCCAUUCGAAGAAUAUUGACAUAUUGUUGUCGUUUGGAGACGACAAGAGUCGCUUGGCACAACAUCCUAGCUAGAAUUUAUGCAAUGUGACAGACGUGAUGAUUAGACAAUACAGCAGGUGCACGUCACACGGCAAAAAUCUCAAUAUCCAACUCAAAACAAAACUGCGUAGAGGUAUAACUUUACGCAAGGUGUUAAAUGGUUAUCAACCAAGUAACCAACCAACAAUGUCUACUUAGCUACUUGUAAUAUUCACAACUCCACUUAUCUAAAUUUCAAAUGUUUAAUAAAUAACUAUAAAUUAUUAGUUCAAUAUUUGAUUUUUAUUGUAUUUUAUGUGUUUUUAA
Rhopalosiphum padi (bird cherry-oat aphid) is the source of this 682-nucleotide long non-coding RNA. RefSeq lists it as uncharacterized. The record is from RefSeq and is a predicted model, not a curated record. The transcript is spliced from 3 exons. NCBI's taxonomy places the organism in Eukaryota, Metazoa, Arthropoda, Insecta, Hemiptera, Aphididae.